This 76-nucleotide ribozyme is filed under the name Crocodylus porosus (Australian saltwater crocodile). RNAcentral's name for it is "Mammalian CPEB3 ribozyme (ENSCPRG00005006612.1)". It matches the Rfam family "Mammalian CPEB3 ribozyme". From Rfam's summary of the family: The mammalian CPEB3 ribozyme is a self cleaving RNA located in the second intron of the CPEB3 gene which belongs to a family of genes regulating messenger RNA polyadenylation. This ribozyme is highly conserved and found only in mammals. Lineage: Eukaryota; Metazoa; Chordata; Crocodylia; Crocodylidae. The record is from Rfam by way of RNAcentral.
AUCGCACGUUUGUGGCCAUAGUAGAAGUGUUUUAUGCCCCAGCCUGUCAGAUUCCAACAAAUCUGUGAAUUCUGCU